AGGAGGAACAACCACAGUGGUGGCGGCCAGCUCUGGAGCCCUGGAUUCAGCUCCCACAGUAACUAUGGAGCUUUUGGUCUGCAGGGACUGUAUGCUCUGGGGCUGG
Molecule: microRNA precursor, 106 nt
Filed under: Canis lupus dingo (dingo)
Lineage: Eukaryota; Metazoa; Chordata; Mammalia; Carnivora; Canidae
Description: mir-8834 microRNA precursor family
Rfam family: mir-8834 microRNA precursor family
Source: Rfam by way of RNAcentral